This 273-nucleotide ribosomal RNA is filed under the name uncultured bacterium. Its description in RNAcentral is "partial 16S ribosomal RNA". It matches the Rfam family "Bacterial small subunit ribosomal RNA", at positions 85 to 354 of the family's 1533-position model. The record is from RNAcentral.
CCGCCGGCGACCGGCGCACGGGUGAGUAACACGUAUGCAACCUGGCCGUGACAGAUGGAUAACCGGGAGAAAUCCCGCCUAAUACAACAUAAUGCCGGGAGGGGACAUCCCCUGCCGGCCAAAGGGGGCGACCCCGGUCACGGAUGGGCAUGCGGCGCAUUAGGUAGUUGGUGGGGCAACGGCCCACCGAGGCGACGAUGCGUAGGGGUUCUGAGAGGAAGGCCCCCCACACUGGUACUGAGACACGGACCAGACUCCUACGGAAGGCAGCAG